Molecule: transfer RNA, 72 nt
Filed under: Camelus bactrianus (Bactrian camel)
Lineage: Eukaryota; Metazoa; Chordata; Mammalia; Artiodactyla; Camelidae
Also listed under: 1 other name
Rfam family: tRNA
About the family: Transfer RNA (tRNA) molecules are approximately 80 nucleotides in length. Their secondary structure includes four short double-helical elements and three loops (D, anti-codon, and T loops).
Source: Rfam by way of RNAcentral
GGGGGAUAGCUCAAGUGGUAGAGCACAUGCUUAGCAUGCAUGAGGUCCUGGGUUCAAUCCCCAGUACCUCCU